This 293-nucleotide RNase P RNA is filed under the name archaeon. RNAcentral describes it as "RNase P RNA component". It matches the Rfam family "Archaeal RNase P". From Rfam's summary of the family: Ribonuclease P (RNase P) is a ubiquitous endoribonuclease, found in archaea, bacteria and eukarya as well as chloroplasts and mitochondria. Its best characterised activity is the generation of mature 5'-ends of tRNAs by cleaving the 5'-leader elements of precursor-tRNAs. RNAcentral also lists the same sequence under 1 other name. The record is from RNAcentral.
GUGAGCUGGCGGACGGCUUCGGACUUUGGUCUGAGGAAACUCCAUCCACCAUGCUGAACUGCAACACCUGCAAAGGUGUAAGGUGAGAGCCUUGGCAACAGAGCAGAAACGAAACGUCCAAACGCAGUUAAAGAUGAUGCGUGCUAAAUCGCUGAUGAUGCAUUUGGAAACGGUGAAACGGCUGUCCUGCAGGGUGAAAGGGCGAAUAGGCGUUGUUGACCUCAGCAAGAGACGCGGGUAGCCCGUACAGCUAAAUGCCGUCAAAAACAAAAGAUGGGCUACGACCAGCACAC